GAUGAACGCUGGCGGCGUGCCUAAUACAUGCAAGUCGAGCGAACGGACGAGAAGCUUGCUUCUCUGAUGUUAGCGGCGGACGGGUGAGUAACACGUGGAUAACCUACCUAUAAGACUGGGAUAACUUCGGGAAACCGGAGCUAAUACCGGAUAAUAUUUUGAACCGCAUGGUUCAAAAGUGAAAGACGGUCUUGCUGUCACUUAUAGAUGGAUCCGCGCUGCAUUAGCUAGUUGGUAAGGUAAUGGCUUACCAAGGCAACGAUGGGUAGCCGGCCUGAGAGGGUGACCGGCCACACUGGGACUGAGACACGGCCCAGACUACUACGGGAGGCAGAAGUGGUGGAUAUUGCAAAAUGGGCGGAAGCCUUAUGCAGCGACGCCGCGUGCGGGAUGACGGCCUUCGGGUUGUAAACCGCUUUCAGCUCUGCCGAAGCAUUUGUGACGUUAGGAGCGGAAGAAGCACCGGCUAACUACGUG
This 477-nucleotide ribosomal RNA is filed under the name uncultured bacterium. RNAcentral's name for it is "partial 16S ribosomal RNA". It matches the Rfam family "Bacterial small subunit ribosomal RNA", at positions 28 to 507 of the family's 1533-position model. The record is from RNAcentral.